RNAcentral lists this ribosomal RNA (253 nucleotides) under uncultured bacterium. RNAcentral describes it as "partial 16S ribosomal RNA". It matches the Rfam family "Bacterial small subunit ribosomal RNA", at positions 524 to 776 of the family's 1533-position model. The record is from RNAcentral.
GACGUAGGGGGCGAGCGUUGUCCGGAUUUAUUGGGCGUAAAGCGCGCGUAGGCGGCUCGGAAAGUCGAAUGUGAAAAUCCGGGGCUUAACCCCGGACCUGCAUCCGAUACUCUCGGGCCAGAGGCAGACAGGGGAGAGCGGAAUUCCUGGUGUAGCGGUGAAAUGCGCAGAUAUCAGGAGGAACACCGGUGGCGAAAGCGGCUUCCUGGUCCAGCACCGACGUUCAGGCACGAAAGCGUGGGGAGCAAACAGG